This 1367-nucleotide long non-coding RNA is filed under the name Polistes fuscatus (common paper wasp). Its description in RNAcentral is "uncharacterized LOC122525325". Lineage: Eukaryota; Metazoa; Arthropoda; Insecta; Hymenoptera; Vespidae. The record is from RNAcentral.
AUACACACACACAUACACACAUGUAGGAGGGAAGAAACGAGCUCGCAAGAAUCGUCUCAUGUGUGCUUGCAAGUACACGAAUGGGUAAGCUAACCGAUACAAUAUAAAGGAGUAGAAAAGCGAGAAGGCUAAACCAAAUUUACUUUUGACAAUAUGUAUACGUAUGUAUAUAUCUAACUUCAAUUUAUAUCACCUUGAUAUUAUAACCCCCCCUCCCCCUUCCCCUUCAAAAAAAAAUACGUAGGAAGGAAAAGAAGAACGAAGAACAAAACUUCAAACUUACCAAUUAAAUCCUUUUUUUCCAUUUUUAUUUAAUUUUGUUGAUUUCAUCAACAGACGUAAUACGAGCAUUUAGAAUCAUCGACGAAUCGAUAAACGCAACUACGAUCCUACUGUAUAAUCCAUGAGUUAUGGGGUUAAUUCGUUCGUUUAUGGUUUUAAUGGAAUUUCGUUCUCUUAGAUUCUGGUUCGUUUCUCACGCGUAGUAUUUUACAAAUGAAAAAGAGAAAAGAAAAUGAUGCUUUUUUAUUUGUCGGGAUCGUUAAUUCCUUCUUUUGUUAGCGUACAAAUAAUUCCAUUGAAUUUCGUAGAUUGUUAUUGGCAUUUGAGAAAUACUAAAUUAAACUAUUCCUUUGUGUUCCGUUAAAACAGUAGUAGUAGUAUUGUAGAUCCAAGAUUUACCAUUCGUUUUCUUAUAUUUUUUUCUUCUUUCCGAAUAAAUUUCAAGCAGCUUAAGAUUAUCAUAAAAAAGAUAAAAGAAGUUAGAAAAUUAUUUAAUCUUUUUCGCAUAAGUUUCAGGUGAAUUUUGUUAUCGCGUAGUCGUGCAACGUUUGCAAGAGCUUUUACGCGUGUCUUUUCACGAAAGAAAUAUGUUUCGUAACGUAGCAAAUUAAUUUAUUUACAUGUAUGCGUUUUAUACUACACGCGAGUUAACAUUUUUCCUUUUAUAUUUUGCUAUAUCUCGGAGAAAGAAAAAAGAAAAGAACAAAAAAAGAAAUGAAAUAAACAGGAUAUCCUCUUGGCUAUUGAAAAUAAUUUGAUGACGGUUAAAAAGCAAACUUUCUCGGCUCCGACUAUGAUUUCAUUAACGAGCAGGAUAAUGAAGGAGUUUGGGGAAUACGUUUAUAACAUCGGAAAUGGGAGAAAAGAGCCGAAUAUUGGAAUGUUACACGUACGCCGCUCGAAUUAAGGGGUUAAUAAUAUAAAAUUGAAUAAACUUACGUGAAAAUGACGUGAAAUAUAUCACCGAUGAGACCGUUGUGAUGCAAAGGAUGUUCAGAAUUUUCGCAUAUGGUCUUCAAUAGGCAUUCCCUUCCAAGAUAUCCAGAACUAAAUAGUCGGGAGAGAAAGAAAGAAAAAAGAAAAAU